GGAAUUUUCCGCAAUGGGCGAAAGCCUGACGGAGCAACGCCGCGUGAGGGAUGAAGGCCUCUGGGCUGUAAACCUCUUUUAUCAAGGAAGAAGAUCUGACGGUACUUGAUGAAUAAGCCACGGCUAAUUCCGUGCCAGCAGCCGCGGUAAUACGGGAGUGGCAAGCGUUAUCCGGAAUUAUUGGGCGUAGAGCGUCCGCAGGCGGUCUGUCAAGUCUGCUGUUAAAGCGUGGAGCUUAACUCCAUUUCGGCAGUGGAAACUGACAGACUAGAGUGUGGUAGGGGCAGAGGGAAUUCCCGGUGUAGCGGUGAAAUGCGUAGAUAUCGGGAAGAACACCAGUGGCGAAGGCGCUCUGCUGGGCCAUAACUGACGCUCAUGGACGAAAGCCAGGGGAGCGAAAGGGAUUAGAUACCCCAGUAGUC
RNAcentral lists this ribosomal RNA (422 nucleotides) under uncultured cyanobacterium. Its description in RNAcentral is "bacterial SSU rRNA". It matches the Rfam family "Bacterial small subunit ribosomal RNA", at positions 358 to 795 of the family's 1533-position model. The record is from RNAcentral. Lineage: Bacteria; Bacillati; Cyanobacteriota.